CCGGAGCGGGCUUGGACGAGCGGGUUGGGGCGAGCCUGGGUCUCCUAACCUGACUUUCCUGACUCCGGUCGCCUUCGGGAAGGGCUAUUGCGCUGUCCGCGAAGUUCUCUGAAAGAAUGGACGGAAGCCGCCUCCACGCCUCCCCAAGGAACAGGAAAGAAAGGCUUUGCCUCUCGCCACCCAAACGCCUGCCAGCCCCGCCCGGCUCGUCCGAGCUGCCGGGCGCUACCCCCUGGAGCGGGGUCUGCGCGUUCCGCAUCCGGGCCCCUCACGCUCCCUUGUCACUGUUGCCUUCGAGCUCCACUCUGCUCGCAGCUUCCCAGGCCACCAACUCCGCUACCUGCUUCGCGUGCCUAGAACCCCCGCGCUGGGAGAACAUUGAUGAGCUGAGCCCUCGCUGCUCAGACCCUCAGCACCGGGCGUUCACUCCAAGCAGACCGGGCAGGGAUACCGUUUAGAGCAUUCCGUGUAAACAGGGGAGGGGUAGAAAAUGGGUGAGAGUGAAUUUUAUUUCAGAGUUGGCUUGUUCAUUUUUCAACCUGUGGGUCCCGACCCCUUCACAGGGGUCGCCAAAGACCAACAGAAAACACAGAUACUUGCAUUACGAUUCAUAACAGUAAAAUUACAGUUAUAAAGUAGCAACAAAAAUAACCACUAAGCACCUGUAUUAAUUUUAAAUUUAAGAUCUGGUUCUUUGCUGACACAGCUCUGUUGAAUGGCACAUAGCAAGCUGAACAAAAUGAGAGACCAAAGUCCCCUAAGGGCCACCCCAUCUCAGCCCGAAACUCGAGUACCUGUUCACAUGAAACACAAUCUGUGGGACAAAACAAACUCCUCGGCUUUGGAGUCCAACAGAGCUGGUGAAAUUGGUGUUGUGUUACCCACCAUAUAACCACGUGGAAGGGGAAGGCGUAUAACUGUGCUGCAGCAGAGUUUCCGGCGUUUAGAAUUCACGAGGAGGAUGAACUCUAACUCCCAGGAUGACAAAGAUCAAGAGGAACGCGGCCGAGCACCUAGCAUGCUCCUGGCAGAUCAUAGAUGCUCAACAAACCAGCUGCAGCAGUAAUCACUGUGAGUGAUUGUAUAUUCAAUUGCAUAUUAAAUCUUGACAUGUGUAA
Long non-coding RNA from Arvicola amphibius (Eurasian water vole), 1118 nucleotides. RefSeq lists it as uncharacterized. The record is from RefSeq and is a predicted model, not a curated record. Lineage: Eukaryota; Metazoa; Chordata; Mammalia; Rodentia; Cricetidae. The transcript is spliced from 2 exons.